UUCUAAAUGUCACCCAAUCCUGUAACUGCCAUGUAUGGAAGUCCCUUCCCCUUGCUAAAAACCCUAUAAAUCCUAGCUUCUUUCCAGGCUCAGGGCUCCUAGCCUUUGACUGCUGUGUCAGUUCAUGCUGGGAGCCUGAGCCUACGCCCCAAAUAAAGCCUCUUUUAUGUUUGCAUAUGAUUUCUGACCGCUGGUGUGGUCAAUGGCCUUUUGGGGUCUCUCAAACUGGAGACAACAUCUUGGAGGCUCCCCCUGGAUUCCCAGGACAACCCCCUCACCAGGACCCCUGAAUCACUGAGCUUGUUUCCUGGCCGGUUUAUGUCUGUCUGAACGUUUGUCUUGUCUUUGGCGUGAAGGACCCAUUUCUAGUGAUAGCAUUGAUCUACGCGGACACAGCAGUGAGACAUGUCAACUUCUGGCAGCAUGCCCUUUCAACUUCAAAGAAGAUGAUGAGCAUCAAAGAAUUUCUCAAUCAAGAGAUGGCUUCAUAUAUGGCAAAGUAGCCACUGGAUCUCUACUUGGAUGACAGACUCCAUCCAGGGAUCACCUGCAGACUGAAAACUGCUGAGCCCUGGACUUCCUGAAAGCUCAUGUAAAUCAGUCCAGUCAAUGUGAUUGCUUCCUGUCUUUUAACUAGAUCAGCUAAUCAGAUGCUUUUGAUAAAUGCCCCAUUGCUCACCCCUUUCAGCUUUCCUCGGCCCUUGAUUACAACAUCUUACUGUCAGCCUGAAAAGGCUACAGAAUAAGAGAAACUCUCCAGCCUUUAUCCUACUUAAUAGGUUGAAAUGCUAAGUCAGAGGCGGCUUCUUGGCAAAGGGAAUGGGUUCCUAUGAUACCAAUUGACAUACCAGAAAAUUGGCCCUUAGUUCUUUUUCCUCUAGUCAUGUUUUGUGCCCCUUACAUGAUUAUAAUAGUUCCCCUUGGCUUACUACCCUCUGAAAACAGUUGAUGAGCCUGUGAUACCAGAUUGAAUAUCAGCACUGGUGUUAUCAGGACACAAACUAUUAAGCUCUUAGCACUGCUAUAGAUCAGAACAUAGAACGAAUAAAAACAUCUGUUUCUCAUUGGCAGGAUUCCUUAAACCUCUUUAUCUGAAACCGUAUUGCAAAACACAAAAGGACCAGCCAGAUCUGCUUUUCAUGCAACAAGGGGGUUUAUGUGCAACAUUAGGAGAAGAAUGCUGUUUUUAUAUUGAAUACUGAGGUGUAGUCAUAGAAUCUAUGGCCUUGGUAAGUGAAGGCUUACAAACAUGAAGACUUCAGAGAAAACAAAAUCAGUCUUGAUUUGAGUCAAAAUUCAGUUGGUUCCCCUGGUGGACUACCAUAAUUUCAGCAUUAGUAGGACCUCUGCUUAUAUUAGUCACAAUUCAUCCUUAUAAAAUCAAUAGAUUAAUAACUUCAUUAGAGAACGAAUUAGUGCUGUACACAUGUUGGUACUUAAAUUGCAAUACCGAUCUCUAAAUUUAAAUCAGGAAGAAAAUAGAACUUCACUUGGCCCCAUGAUUGGGUCCAAUAUUUACUAGGAGAGGGGAGAAUGUAGAAACUGAACAUAACAGAGACAAUUUUGUCACUGUUAAUUGUUAAAAGGUUAGAUGUAAUGGUUAAGAUACCUCCUGGAAUAUCACACUGAUGAGACAGGUUAUUACUCAUUUGAUAAAAUUGACAAUAUAUGUUAGUAAAAACUAAGAUUGGUGCAGAGUAGUUGUGGCACAUGCAUUUAAUCCCAGCAUUGGGAGGCAGAAGCAGACAGAACGUAUACGUGACCUAAAACUUACCCCUGCUUCAGAAAAGCAUGUUUAUACUUGCAAAAAUCUACAUUUCUGAGAAUGACCACAUAAUGUGCCAACCCUGAAACUAGCUGAUCAGAAAACAGGUCAAAAUGACCGUUGUCCUUGAGAUUACUAAAACAAUCACGUUAUCAUUAUCGUUACUAUAGGUGGUUGUACUUUUCCUCUAACUAAUCGCUAUGUAACAAGCUUUCUCUUUUUAAAUGUCACCCAAUCCUGUAACUGCCAUGUAUUGAAGUCCCUUCCCCUUGCUAAAAACCCUAUAAAACCUAGCUUCUUUCCAGGCUCAGGGCUCCUAGCCUCUGACUGCUGUGUCAGUUCAUGCUGGGAGCCUGAGCUUAAGCCCAAAAUAAAUAUUCCUUGUUUUUGUAUACAA
Long non-coding RNA from Meriones unguiculatus (Mongolian gerbil), 2162 nucleotides. RefSeq lists it as uncharacterized. The record is from RefSeq and is a predicted model, not a curated record. The transcript has 3 exons. NCBI's taxonomy places the organism in Eukaryota, Metazoa, Chordata, Mammalia, Rodentia, Muridae.